AGUUUGAUCAUGGCUCAGGAUGAACGCUAGCGGCAGGCCUAAUACAUGCAAGCCGGACGGCAAGUUGAGUAGCAAUACUUGACCUAGAGUGGCGUAAGGGUGCGUAACACGUAUGCAACCUACCCUAUACAGGAGGAUAGCCUAGGGAAACCUGGAUUAACCCUUCAUAGUAUUAUUGGAUGGCAUCAUUUGAUAAUUAAAACUGAGGUGGUAUAGGAUGGGCAUGCGUCUGAUUAGUUAGUUGGCGGGGUAAUGGCCCACCAAGACGAUGAUCAGUAGGGGUUCUGAGAGGAAGAUCCCCCACACUGGCACUGAGAUACGGGCCAGACUCCUACGGGAGGCAGCAGUAGGGAAUAUUGGUCAAUGGAUGCAAGUCUGAACCAGCCAUGCCGCGUGCAGGAAGAAGGCCUUCUGGGUUGUAAACUGCUUUUGCCAGGGGAUAAAAUUUCCAUGCGUGGAAAACUGAAGGUACCUGGUGAAUAAGCCACGGCUAACUACGUG
RNAcentral lists this ribosomal RNA (501 nucleotides) under uncultured bacterium. Its description in RNAcentral is "bacterial SSU rRNA". It matches the Rfam family "Bacterial small subunit ribosomal RNA", at positions 10 to 507 of the family's 1533-position model. The record is from RNAcentral.